RNAcentral lists this long non-coding RNA (749 nucleotides) under Rhinolophus ferrumequinum (greater horseshoe bat). RNAcentral's name for it is "lncRNA (ENSRFEG00010007253.1)". Lineage: Eukaryota; Metazoa; Chordata; Mammalia; Chiroptera; Rhinolophidae. The record is from RNAcentral.
CACGGCCGGAGCCCGCGGCUGCCUCGGCGAACCUGCCCGCGCGGCGCCAGGGAAGAAUCCGGGCGGUGGCGCGGGGCGCGUGCGCUCGGCGAGGGCGCCCUCUCCAGGGCCGUCUUCAGUCUGCGGGACGGGGCUGAGUGCCUGCUGGCCAGCGAGGUCCAGUGCAGACUUGGGUCAAGGACACGGCAGAUUCUCUCCUCUGCUCUCCCGGGUGCACCGUUCCCAGCUGGUCUUUGCUUGGAUCCUGCCAAGGGCAAGUGCUCAGGGAAGGAAUUGGGGAUGCAGAGACAUCCGUGGGGAGAAACACUUGUCAACACUGAGCCCGAAGCAGGAUUUCAGGAAGGAGGCGGGGAGGCGGGGCAAGCCCCUGCGGGCUCUGGGUUUCCGAAGCAUCUCGCGGCCUCAUCUUGUGCUGAGCCAAUCCUGAGCGCUGUGUAAGCACCUGGGGCUGUCCCCCGGCAGGCUGCCCUGGCCCAGCUUCAGUCUUGUCGUCCCAGGACCGCGCCCACUGGCCAGCCCUCGCCCGAGUGGGCCCUGCUCCCUCGAGCUCCAUCCCAGACCAUUCAGGGGCCCCACCUGCCAUCCCCAGAGUAUAACAUAAUUUCUGCUCAGAGGCCCUGUUGAGGGGCCCUCCCAGAGGGCAGGUGUCCCCCCAGGUGGGCAGGUGUUCCUCCUUCACAGAACAUUACUGAGCACCUACUGUGUGCCAUGCACCAGGCAAGCUCUUUGUAAGCCUCACCACAUUUAAC